GACGAACGCUGGCGGCGUGCUUAACACAUGCAAGUCGAACGGAAAGGCCCUGCUCUUGUUGGUUGCUCGUGUGGCGAACGGGGGAGUGACACGUGAGUAACCUGCACUUGUCUUUCUGAUAACUUCUGGAAACUGGGGCUAAUACCGGGUAGGAGCUCCUGCUCCAUGUUGUUGGUUGGAAAGUUUCGGCGGUUGGGGAUGGUCUAGCGGUUUAUCAGCUUGUUGGUGGGGUAGUGGCUUACCAAGGCUUUGACGGCUAGCCGGCCUGAGAGGGUGACCGGCCACAUUGGGACUGGGAUACGGCCCAGAGGCAUACGGGAGGCAGGAGCGGGGAAUAUUGCACGAAGGGCGGAAGCCUGAAGCAGCAACGCCGCGUGCUGGAUGACUGCUUUCGGGUUGGAAACAGCUUGUGCGUGUGACGACGCGUGAGGACGGGAAAUAGGUAAAGAAGCACCGGCAACCUACUG
RNAcentral lists this ribosomal RNA (467 nucleotides) under uncultured bacterium. Its description in RNAcentral is "partial 16S ribosomal RNA". It matches the Rfam family "Bacterial small subunit ribosomal RNA", at positions 28 to 506 of the family's 1533-position model. The record is from RNAcentral.